This 492-nucleotide ribosomal RNA is filed under the name uncultured bacterium. RNAcentral describes it as "partial 16S ribosomal RNA". It matches the Rfam family "Bacterial small subunit ribosomal RNA", at positions 29 to 507 of the family's 1533-position model. The record is from RNAcentral.
AGUGAGCGCUGGCGAUAGGCCUAACACAUGCAAGUCGAACGGCAGCACAGUAAGAGCUUGCUCUUACGGGUGGCGAGUGGCGGACGGGUGAGGAAUACAUCGGAAUCUACUUUUUCGUGGGGGAUAACGUAGGGAAACUUACGCUAAUACCGCAUACGACCUACGGGUGAAAGCAGGGGAUCUUCGGACCUUGCGCGAUUGAAUGAGCCGAUGUCGGAUUAGCUAGUUGGCGGGGUAAAGGCCCACCAAGGCGACGAUCCGUAGCUGGUCUGAGAGGAUGAUCAGCCACACUGGAACUGAGACACGGUCCAGACUCCUACGGGAGGCAGCAGUGGGGAAUAUUGGACAAUGGGCGCAAGCCUGAUCCAGCCAUACCGCGUGGGUGAAGAAGGCCUUCGGGUUGUAAAGCCCCUUUGUUGGGAAAGAAAAGCAGCAGGUUAAUACCCCGCUGUUCUGACGGUACCCAAAGAAUAAGCACCGGCUAACUUCGUG